RNAcentral lists this ribosomal RNA (426 nucleotides) under uncultured bacterium. Its description in RNAcentral is "bacterial SSU rRNA". It matches the Rfam family "Bacterial small subunit ribosomal RNA", at positions 356 to 773 of the family's 1533-position model. The record is from RNAcentral.
GGGGAAUUUUGGACAAUGGGGGCAACCCUGAUCCAGCCAUGCCGCGUGCGGGAAGAAGGCCUUCGGGUUGUAAACCGCUUUUAGCCGGGACGAAAGCUGUACGGAUAACACCCGUGCAGGUUGACGGUACCGGCGGAAUAAGCACCGGCUAACUCCGUGCCAGCAGCCGCGGUCAUACGGAGGAUCCAAGCGUUAUCCGGAAUUACUGGGCGUAAAGAGUUGCGUAGGUGGCAUAGUAAGCAGACAGUGAAAGCGUGUGGCUCAACCAUACAUCCAUUGUCCGAACUGCUAAGCUAGAGGACGAGAGAGGUAGAUGGAAUUCCUGAUGUAGGGGUAAUAUCCGUAGAUAUCAGGAGGAACACCGAUGGCGUAAGCAGUCUACUGGCUCGUUCCUGACAAUCAGGCACGAAAGCGUGGGGAGCAAAC